UUGACUUAGUGGCGGACGGGUGAGUAACGCGUGGGUAACCUGCCUCACACAGGGGGAUAACAGUUGGAAACGACCGCUAAUACCGCAUAACCCGCUAGGACCGCAUGGCCCGGACGGAAAAGAUUUAUCGGUGUGAGAUGGACCCGCGUUGGAUUAGCUAGUUGGCAGGGUAACGGCCUACCAAGGCGACGAUCCAUAGCCGGCCUGAGAGGGUGAACGGCCACAUUGGGACUGAGACACGGCCCAA
Molecule: ribosomal RNA, 247 nt
Filed under: uncultured bacterium
Lineage: Bacteria
Description: partial 16S ribosomal RNA
Rfam family: Bacterial small subunit ribosomal RNA
Source: RNAcentral